Molecule: long non-coding RNA, 212 nt
Organism: Podarcis raffonei (Aeolian wall lizard)
Lineage: Eukaryota; Metazoa; Chordata; Lepidosauria; Squamata; Lacertidae
Exons: 2
Source: RefSeq, a predicted model, not a curated record
CCCUCUGGGACAGUUCCAAAGCUGUAGCUUUGGGGAUCCCCCUUGAAACUCAAUGGGAGAACAAGACCUGUGGGAGUGUUAAUGAGGUCUCCAAUCUGUUAAGGUCAUCUUGAAUCCUCAUUCUGUCUUCUGCGGCAUUGACUCCCCAUCCCAGUUUGGUGUCAUCUGCAGAUCUGAUAAGCACCCCCUCAAUAAAAGCUGCCAUUAAUAAA